This 3646-nucleotide long non-coding RNA is filed under the name Sus scrofa (pig). RNAcentral's name for it is "lncRNA (ENSSSCG00000053310.1)". Lineage: Eukaryota; Metazoa; Chordata; Mammalia; Artiodactyla; Suidae. The record is from RNAcentral.
CUUAUUAAGUAAGUAUCACAUCAGAUAAGUAAUAAGUAGAGACAGAAUACUAAAUAUAUGUAAAAUUUUCCCACUUUAUUGAAGUAUAAUUGACAAAUAAGAUUAUAAGAUUUUUUUUUAAUAUUAGGGAGUUUUUGUUGUGGCUCAAUGGUAAUGAACCUGACUAGUAUCCAUGAGGAAAGCAGGUUCAAUCCCUGGCCUUGCUCAGUGGGUUAAGGAUCCAGCGUCAGCCAUGAGCUGUGGUGAAGGUUGCAGAUGAGGCUUGGAUCCCACAUUGCUGUGGCUGUGGUGUAGGCUGGCAGCUGCAGCUCUGAUUCGACCCCUAGCCUGGGAGCUUCCAUAUGCUACAGGUGGGCCCUAAAAAGCAAAAAAAAGAAAAAAAAAAGAAAAAAAGAAAUCAGCUGUUCCUGUCACCAUUGGAAUUAACACUUACUAUAACAGAUGAAUUCUGGAAUAUAAGUGGUUUUACCCAUUUACAUAAAGUCUAGUUGGCAGGUUGAGGAGGGUGGGCAGAGUAGGAAGACAGAAAAGGUCUUUGCUCCACUCAGGAAGCCAGGGUCCUCUAUCGGCCUCCCGGAGUCCCUAGAAAGACUCCCUGGACUUUGCCUACAUGAGGAAAAGGACAGAGAAUGAAGGGAGUUUUCACAGCCUAGACCUGGAAGUUGGCUUCAUCCCAUCCAGCCACAUCCCAUUAACCAGAACUCAGCCACAUAGCCAAACUGACUACAAGAACCCUAAGAAAUGCAGCCUAAUUGUGUUUAGGAAGAGCAGAGAAUCGCUUCACGUGAGAGCCAUCUGGGUCACAGGGAGUGACUUUGCCCAGGCCGACCCAGCAGAUAACUGUGAGAGCUGGAACUUUAAAGCACAUCAUCUGGCUUCAGGUCCAGAGCUCUUCCCUCUACAAUUGCCCAAGGUCCAACAUGAAAACAGCAACCAGGCAUGCUGGCAUGAUUUGGAAUUCUAGGAUCUUUUCUCUUGCCCUUUCUGGCUGGCCAAAUAUGUUGAUGAAUGAUAAAUGGCCAGGUUCUCUCCAUCACUAUGCUGUGUCUCAUUACAGGUGCUCUGAUAGCUAACACAUUCACAAAACUAGAAACCCAACCUCUCUCUUUGAUGGCUGAGGUCGCCGAGAAUGGUCUUACUCUGUGACUGUUUCAUGUCUCCCCUGGGUGACAGAUAGAACUGACUAUUCAUUUCCCUUAGACAAGAACAAUUUAGAGGAACAACUAAUUGCACAGGGAGGGUUUAUGUGUGUGGGGAUUUACGGUAUGAGGUCACAUGGCUUCAUCAUUUUUCUGCACACUGAAAUUGAAGAUAAUUGGGCUAUUUUUCAAAGCCAGUGGAGUGUGGCCUUACUGAGAGGCACUGCCACAUUUAGAUCCCUCUUUACUUGCUCUGGGUCCUCUUUAGGUUCUUUCUUCACCUUUUAGAUAAUGUCAGUCUCUUUGCCUUCUUUAAGGUGAAUUUACAGUGAUCCUCAGUGUAAACCCAAAGCAUCAAUAUGGUUCAAAGUCCAAGCUAGAGAGUGCCAAGGCCCCAUCAGAGUGCACCUGGCCCACUGGUGUCAUGCUUGUCCUCACUCAAUAGGACCAAACAUGCAAGGCCUGACUGAGAUACACAGCCAUUUCUUUCCAGACACAAAGCCUCCAAUUCAAGGAAUUUUCCCCCGAGUUGGUUGUUGUGCCAGUUGAUAAGCUGUAGACUUUCUUUAAAGCCUGGAAACUGAAAACCACCAUCUGGUAGGAUAUGUUUGGGUUUCUUCCUAAUCUAAAAACUUGCCAGGGAGAGAGUAGAUAUCAGUGCAGGGUAUACAUGCUCUGGAGGCAGACAAAACUCAUUUUAAAUAGUGGUUUUACCUCAUAAUCACUGUAAAGCAGAGGUUGGUACAUGUCAACCUAUGAACCAAAUCCAUAUCAUCAUCUUCUUUUGAAAAUAAAGUUGUAUUGGAACAUGGCCACACCCAUUUGUUUACACACCAUCUAUGGCUCCUUGCACACAAAUAAUGGCAGUCUUGGGUUGGACAUACAUGGCCUGCAAAACCACAAAUGGUUAUCACUUGUUCUCUUGCAAAAAAAUAUUAUGGAUCUCGGUUUCUCCAUCUGCUAAGUACAGGUAAUUCUGUCUAACACAAAACUGGUGAGAACUAAAUAAAACAGUGUGUAAAAAGCACCUAGGCCAAUUCCAAACACAAAGUAGAUCCUUAUUAAGUAGGAGGAUUUCUCCAGUGAUUCUGUACUGGGUACAUUUGGGUGGCUGAGUGCAGAGGCUUGGAGACACACAGAGUCAAUGUGACAUAUACACAAGUAACACUCUUCAAGGAACACUGCCACCCCUCUCCUCCACCUUGGCCCACAUGCCGCUCCAGGACUAAAAGAACAAAGGAAACAAAACAUAAGCACUUUCUAAUAUCAGCUGUGCUCUUGCAGAAGGCAGAGAGAUCAAGAAGUGGGCCUUCCAUCAUCUUACUAUCACUGUCACUAGGCAAAUCACGCCAUUCUGAUGUUCUUUUACUUUAUAUACCUAAGAAAGAAGCAAAUAGUCAUUUUGCAUUAAAACUUCCCCCAAACAACCCAUCUUACUCUGAAAUUUAUUGUAUGCAUCCUUACUUUCACAAAGAAUGAAGUAUAUCUCAUAAUUCUGAAGAAGGUUUAGUAUUCUUAGUGUUCUAAGACCCAUUUAUUAGUAGUUAAUGCAUUGGCCUCUAGAUUAGGCCAUAUAUUAUAAAUCUCAUCCUCUCAAUAACUUUUCAAGACAUAUAUUUUCCUUCUAAGUUUACUGUGAAGAAACUGAGAGAUUAAAUAACCUUCCAAGUUUGUGCAACCAGUAGCAAGCAUAGUUACAAUUCAAAGCCACUCUGACUCUCUUCUGAGUCUGCCUAAUCUUCAACAAAGUUGGCAAUGUCAGGAACUGCAUAAGGACAAGGAAUGGAUUUUAACUGAACCAAAACAAUAUAUAUGGUCAGAAAGGCUGGACAGCUGGCAAGAGGACAGAAGAAACAAUUUCUACAAAUAUAUUCUGAGCAACAAGCAUUAGUGUAUUUUAAAUUCUUUCUAGAGGAACUUUCUAUCUCUUACACAUUUCAAAGAACAGCAUGGAGAAAAAGUUUUGGAUCAGAAGCAAUAAGUUCUGGGCUCUAGUCUUGAAUGAAUCAUUUGCCUUCUCUCAACUGUUCUAUUUAUAAAUGGGAACAGCAAAUUGUCUUUCAGGUCACUCUGAGUGUUUACGAUACUUUCCAGGGAGCAAGUUUCAGUCACUGGGAACUGAUGCCCAAAUCGGAAGUAUCCUGCCAUAAGCCUGUCUCAGAGCCCAGCCACUGGGAACCACACACACACACACACACACACACACACUGAACACAUACAAUGAACACAGAGUUUCUUUCCAUAGAGCUUGAUUUAAAAUACAUAAAAAUUAAGUUAGAUUAAAAAAAUAAACUCUAUAAAAGCGCAACUCUGGGUAGACAAAGUAGAUAGAAACAAACAAACCCUUGCAUAAGGUUUCUGACACUGAUUAGGAAUAAAAUAUACAUGAAAAGACAGCCAAAAAAAGAAAGCAUACUAACGGAUAUGCUUUUUUUGAUUAAGCAAAGACAAGCUUAAUCAAAAUAUGUGCUUUUGUAUAUAUAUACACACACAGAAACAUGUUACAC